GGGGCAGAGAGAUCGAAGGAGCAGAGCGAAGCAGAACAGGAGGCGACGCAGGAUGCCACGCAAUCCGGUGCUGAUAAUGGUGUUGCUUGGUAUGAGAUCGAUCUAAGCUUAAGUUGAAUCAAAAAUUAUGCCCAAACUCUCUUUCAAAACUCAUCUCAAUAAAAUUAAUCAAAACUUAGGCUGCAAAAUAUAGUCAAAGCAAAAGCGAAAUCAUCUACAAAUGUAACACAGAGAACCACCCAUCCCGAGAGAGCAGAAACUCUAAGAACAACAACAACAACAGCAACAACAACCUACAAAAACAACAACAACAACAAAAUGAUAGCGAGAGCUCUCGCUGCUCGUUACAUUUUGCACACGCACUACUCGUUUCAUCAUCGUAUCGUGACCGCUCCCGUCACAUUGUGACCGCUCUGUCGUCUCGACUCGUUUCUGUCUCUCGUCGUCUUAUGCUCGUCUUUCUCUUUUUUCCUCUCUCUUUCUCUCUCUCUCUCUAUCGUUCUAUUUUUCUAGCUAUCGUUCCCUAGUACUACAGUUAUUGCUAUUUCAGUUCCAAUGCAUGCCAUAUACAUUCUUAGAAGUUUCUUUUGAUAUCGCUAUAUAUUUUCCUCUGUUCUUCCACACCUACUCCACCAAUGCAAUCCACAUCAAUCGUCACAUCCAUCAUCAUCCCAAGCCCACCCAAAAACCAAAAUAGUCCACACACUAGUCGACAAAACGCUAACUCAAUCAUAUCAAUCAUGAGACACGAAAAAAUGUCAAAGCCUCGAUAAAUGUAACCCACCCAUCAUUCUGUAGAAGAGAAGCCUUAGAAGCGCCCCCCCGCCCCAAAAAGAAAUCCCAUUUUAUGUUAACCAGCGAAACCGAAGAACCGAACAAGAUCUACUAUGAACUUUAAUCCAAAGGUUUCCCCGCCCUAAGCUUGCCUAAGAACCAAACUGAAACUAAACUUAAAACUAUCCCAACAGCAAAAGAAAAAGCAAAAGCAAAUGAAAAGAAUAAGAAGAGAAGUAGAAUCGUAUUUUGAGUAGCGCUUUUUGAUUUAUUUGGUAGCCAGGCAAACGCUAACCGAAACAGAAGUUUUAGUUGUGUUUUUCAACGUAAAAUAUAAAAUAUAAACUAUGGAUAAUAUAAUUUUAUAUACAACAUACAUACUAUAGAGUUAUAAAUUUAAAGGCAGACGCUGUAGAUGAUUACUCGAUCGAUGAUUAAGCUUUAGUUCUAACAGAUAUGUUACUUAUGAUUACCUAGCGACAAUUAUUAUAUACGCAACAGACAACAAACAAACAAACAAACAAACAACACACAACAAUUACACACGAAAGAUACUAAAAACUAAUCGACGUAGUAGAAGAACCCACGAUAUUUAUACGAGUAUAUGGAUCAUAGUUGAAAAAACAAAUAACAAAACGAUUAGCGAGAAAUAUUUUAGUGAAAAAUCCAAAAAGUCAGCUGAAACUUUAUAUGUUUAAAUGCGAAACUGCAAAAUGGACUUGAAACAAGAACAAACAAGAGGAAAACUAUAUUAUAUUAUAUUAUUAACUAUUAUUACGAGUAUAUACGAUAUUGAGAGGGCGUGCCCCAGGGGCCGACCAACAACAACAAACAAAAUAAGGCGCUGUUCAGCUAAUCGAGAAAAUAUAUAGUGAAAAUCGUUUACGUUUAAUAAAAUACUAAGUUCUGCUUAUCGCUACGCGAAUAUGAUUUCCAUUUACAACUUAGGGAUGAUAUAUGAUUUCAGCAUUAGAAAAGAAAAGACAACAAUCAGAACACACCAAAUACACAGACAUUCCACAGACACACAUUCCACAUAACGAGGCUACCACUGAGGUUGCCCCAUGAUGAAAAUAGUGCGAAGUGAAAUAUAGUUAAGGAAACAUUCGACGGGGGAAUACCCCUUGAGAGAAGAACCUAUGAAAUAAUCCAAAAUAUAUAGCACAUUUAAUGUUAAUCUUAAGUUGAGGAACAAACAAACGUAGAGAAAAUUCAGCAGAGAGCGUAAAAUUAAUUAUACGAUUAAGUAAGUCGCGCAAAAGACCCCAAAAGACACCAGAAAACAGAGAUACCGAAAGGUAAACAACCUACAAAAUAAGCAGCAAACGAAACGAAGAUGCAGAAGAGAAGAAAAAUCACCAAAUAAUUAAGGAAAAACUUCACCGAGAAGCGAGAAACGAGAAGCAGAUGAACGAUGAUGAGGACGGAAUGGAGCGAGUGCUCCUAGCGAGGAGCAAAAAAGUAAACAAACAAUAGAAAAACCCAUAUUUAGUGGUAAAUUUUAAGAAGGAAACACUCUGCAAUCAUACGAGAGCUCUGGGAAAACCGAAGCGAAGCGAGGCUACAUCGAAACACACACCUUUGAUGGAAGCACAAAGUUGCAUCCAGCUACCAGAAAGAACGAUGCAACAACCCAACAAAAGUGUUUCCAUCGCUAAGCAGAUGCAAAAGCAGAUACACAAAAACUAAAUUAAGGUAUUGGUGGUUACAAAAAUAUUAUAUGUAUAACUAAUUGAUGUUUGGAAAAGACGACGAUGAAAUAACGAUAUAAUCAAAAAGGCCCGAGGGCUGUCAAUGACACGCUGCAAUCCAGCGACAUUGCCAGACCUCACAGACAGGAGACCGUUGUGGCAUAGGGAACAUGUCUGGCAUCAGCGCUGCAUGUUCCGUAUCCAGCUUGACGGCUAACGUCUGUUUAUUGAAAGUUGAAAUCAAAUCAAAUUAUAUGAAUCUACGAAUAUAUAUAUGUGUAUAGUGUUGUACUCAAGAGUGUCAUCGAGUGUCGUGCCACAGGCUCAGGCUCGCAGGCUGAGAAGCGUUUAAAAGAGUUCCAGAUAGUAGUUUUCCGGGGUCCGACUGUACACGCCACUCAAGAGAGCACUAAGCACGCCGAGUAGCCGGGCACGGAGUCUCGGCGAAACGGGUGUGAGGGUGCCACCAAAAUUGAGCGAGUGAACAGUCGGCCAAAGGAUUGAUCUUUUUUGAGAAGAGAAGUCUCCUUCGAUGAUGUCCAUGUCAUACGAUUUCCACGAGGCCUCGACUGAGUCUGUGCCACGAACACCGCUCGAACAGUCGCUCCCCAAAAUGUACUCGCACUUUCGUCAGUAUUUAAUCGAACAAAUCGUUAAUUAACAUUCCAAAUAAAUACAAUUAAAUAUGGGAAAGUCAUUCGAGGAGCGAAGUGAAGUGAAAAGAAAGAGAAAUGGUACAUUUUAGUAAUUUUUCCAGCAAGUUACAAACUAUAUAUAAAUGUUAAAGUAAAUAAUCAGAAAGACAAUUCUUAAUUGAUCGAAAGAAGUAGAUCGAUAGAUCACUUAUCGACUCGAGAUUUCAAUUAAACUCUCGAAAGGUCGGUGGGUGAGACGCGCAAACAGGUGCCAAACGGUUCGAUAGACAGAAGGUUCUGCCAUGAGCAGACCUUUGGGGCGAAUGCCGGGAAAAAAUUAUGAACAAAAAACUAAUUAAAUAUAAAGAACACACGAUUCUCUAGACCGUAAGUUGAUGUUACAGUUCAUUGAAAAGCGUUUAAAUAUUAUAUGGCAUACCAGAAUAUUAUGGAUUAAACAAGCAUUAACUAUAUAUACAUAUAUAUGAUAUGAUAUGAUAUCGAUACAACAAUAUAUUGCAAGUAUUCAAAUAUUCAUUGGAAAAACAUAAAAGAAACCUUUAUUGUUACAAUUUUAGGUGUAAGUCACGUAACAGAUAAGAUAUUUGGACAUAUAGGUUACGAUUCUUACGAUAUAUAAACGAUAAAAUGAUUGAUUCUUAAACUUGUCGAAUUGCGAACUCAGACAAACAACAAAAGCACGGUGCCACACAACAUCCACAGGCUAAACCAGAAACCAAAGAAACCAAAAACAAAACCAAACAAAACAAAGAAAAACAACCCGACAAAACAAUUAUAAUUUAGUCAAAGGAAAAUCUAAAUGAAAUCUAGCUAGUAAGUGAAUUUUAACGCAGCAAAGCAAACAACAACAACAACAACACAACAAGAAACAAAAGACAAAACUACACGAAAAGAAAGAUCGAAAGUCAUAGGAGGAAGGAAUAGGAGGAAGAAGAAUUCACCAGAAUGAACGAAAAAGAAAAAAACACGAAAACUCAAAAUAGUAUGAUAUAAACGAACAUGUAUUUAGCUGUUAACAAAAAACAAAAACAAACAAAAAAAACUACUAAACAAAUGGAAAACCAAAAACCAAAUACAGAAAACAAAAAACCGAAAACAAAGAAAAACCAAAGCAUAAGUAUGAUUAUCAUUAAAGGAACUUCUCUAAAUAAAAAGUAAACUUUGAAAAUCCUUAGCGGAGAAAAACUACCCUCUCUCUAUAAAAAAAAACCAAAAAACGAAAAACCAACAAAAAUACUGUCGAUUGUGUUUUAUUUCCCCCUCUCCCCCCAAGACCUUCGUCGACCGAAAGAAAGCUUCCCCCAACCAGAAAAUCCUCCCAGAAAUAUCGAUGUUGAUGAUGAUGCCUUGCUUUGUGUGCUUUCCUCCCCUCCCGCCACUCUUUUUCCUUUGCCUUGCUUUUGCUUGAGUUUUUGGAAUUUAUUUAGUGUUUAUUUGGUAUCAUUUUGAUAUGUUUGCGGUAUAUUUGCUUCUUUGGGCUGUACAUAUAAUUAUUGUGCCUGCGCUUGAGCUUCGUUUUUGAGCAAAAUCUAAAUGUCUUUCUCCACAUCACAACGAUUUGCACACUUCGGUGACCCCGACCCUCUGAAAUUUGUAGCUUUGGUGACUCCUGACUUCUGAGUCUGAGGUGUGUAAAGGGUGCUCUUCUUUUAGCUUCAGCUUCAGAGAUCGACGUAAGUAGAUAUAUAUGGAAAUGAGAGCCUGAGAACAAAGGGCUAAGGACUGUGACAGUUCCUCAGAUGCGAAGUCAGAAUCAGGCAUCUGCUGUUCGCAGGAAACUUUUAUCUUUUCUUGGCAGGCGAUAAGAAAAGUUUUUGUAGGGCAAGUUUUCCUAUAGAAUUUUCAGCAAGCUCUCGGAGAAGUUUCGCCUCCGGAAAGAAACAUGUUUCGUGUAAUUAGCAAACGCAAACGACAGAUAGAGGGAAAGACAGAGAGAGAGAGAGAGCGAGUACAUAUCUCUUUCUGUCGCUUCCUUUGUCCAGCGACAAUUCAAUUAAAUACCAGACGAUGACUAGGACUAGGACUCCUCUCCGUUUGCAUGGCAAUUGAAAUGCAAUGAUGUUUAAAUAUUGCAGAUACACUCGUUCAAUCGCAGUGGCACCCGUAUAUUAUAGAUGGGUGGAUGGUGCGGAAUGGCAACAGCUCUCGUUUAAGUACAAUUCGAGCUUAACAAAUCAAUUGGCAGUCGGUGAACUGUGCCAAUGACUGGCACUCGCUUGGAUUCGAUUAGAAAAUGGAUUGGGAAUUGCUGUUCGCCUUUUGUCUCGAUAGAACAAUGAAUCAUUUGAGAGAAACUCUUUUAAUUGCUUCAGAUCAUAGAUUUUUGUGGAAUAAAUAAAGAUUUGCAAUGAAUCAUAGAGCA
This is a long non-coding RNA of Drosophila pseudoobscura, 5483 nucleotides long. RefSeq lists it as uncharacterized. NCBI's taxonomy places the organism in Eukaryota, Metazoa, Arthropoda, Insecta, Diptera, Drosophilidae. The transcript has 2 exons. The record is from RefSeq and is a predicted model, not a curated record.